UGGCCUACGGGGGGCAGCAGUGGGGAAUAUUGCACAAUGGGGGGAACCCUGAUGCAGCGACGCCGCGUGGGUGAAGGAGCACCUCGGUGCGUAAAGCCCUAUCGGCAGGGAAGAAACAGACGGUACCUGACUAAGAAGCCCCGGCUAACUACGUGCCAGCAGCCGCGGUAAUACGUAGGGGGCAAGCGUUAUCCGGAUUUACUGGGUGUAAAGGGGGCGCAGACGGCAGCGCAAGCCAGGAGUGAAAGCCCGGGGCCCAACCCCGGGACUGCUCUUGGAACUGCGCGGCUGGAGUGCAGGAGGGG
This 305-nucleotide ribosomal RNA is filed under the name uncultured bacterium. RNAcentral's name for it is "bacterial SSU rRNA". It matches the Rfam family "Bacterial small subunit ribosomal RNA", at positions 335 to 657 of the family's 1533-position model. The record is from RNAcentral.